RNAcentral lists this ribosomal RNA (434 nucleotides) under uncultured bacterium. RNAcentral's name for it is "bacterial SSU rRNA". It matches the Rfam family "Bacterial small subunit ribosomal RNA", at positions 957 to 1391 of the family's 1533-position model. The record is from RNAcentral.
GAACGCGAAGAACCUUACCCGGGCUUGAACUGCAGCUGAACGAUUCAGAGAUGAUGAGGCCCUUCGGGGCAGCUGUGGAGGUGCUGCAUGGUUGUCGUCAGCUCGUGCCGUGAGGUGUCGGCUUAAGUGCCAUAACGAGCGCAACCCCUUUUCUUAGUUGCCAUCAGGUAAUGCUGGGCACUCUGGGAAUACUGCCACCGUAAGGUGUGAGGAAGGUGGGGAUGACGUCAAAUCAGCACGGCCCUUACGUCCGGGGCUACACACGUGUUACAAUGGCGCAUACAGAGUGUUGGUUUCAUGCAAAUGAGAUCUAAUCUUCAAAGUGCGUCUCAGUUCGGACUGGGGUCUGCAACCCGACCCCACGAAGCUGGAUUCGCUAGUAAUCGCGCAUCAGCCAUGGCGCGGUGAAUACGUUCCCGGGUCUUGUACACACC